RNAcentral lists this transfer RNA (73 nucleotides) under Virus Rctr197k. Its description in RNAcentral is "tRNA-Lys". It matches the Rfam family "tRNA". Rfam says of the family: Transfer RNA (tRNA) molecules are approximately 80 nucleotides in length. Their secondary structure includes four short double-helical elements and three loops (D, anti-codon, and T loops). Lineage: Duplodnaviria; Heunggongvirae; Uroviricota; Caudoviricetes. The record is from RNAcentral.
GGGGCUGUAGCUCAGCUGGUAGAGCAGCGUCCUUUUAAGUCGAAGGUCGCGGGUUCGAUCCCCGCCGGCCCCA